RNAcentral lists this ribosomal RNA (428 nucleotides) under uncultured bacterium. Its description in RNAcentral is "partial 16S ribosomal RNA". It matches the Rfam family "Bacterial small subunit ribosomal RNA", at positions 354 to 796 of the family's 1533-position model. The record is from RNAcentral.
GUAGGGAAUAUUGCGCAAUGGGGGAAACCCUGACGCAGCGACGCCGCGUGAGUGAUGAAGGCCUUCGGGUCGUAAAGCUCUGUUGCAGGGGAAUAAAAAAAUGAAGGUACCCUGUGAGGAAGGAUCGGCUAACUUCGUGCCAGCAGCCGCGGUAAGACGAGGGAUCAUAGCGUUGCUCGGAAUCAUUGGGCGUAAAGAGGGCGUAGGUGGCUUGGUAAGUCAGGUGUGAAAGCCCAGGGCUCAACCCUGGAAGUGCAUUUGAUACUGCUGAGCUUGAGUGUCGGAGAGGGUACCGGAAUACCUGGUGUAGUGGUGAAAUACGUAGAUAUCAGGUGGAACACCGGAGGCGAAGGCGUGUAACUGGACGAACACUGACACUGAGGCCCGAAAGCGUGGGGAUCAAACAGGAUUAGAUACCCCAGUAGUCC